This is a long non-coding RNA of Mytilus trossulus (common blue mussel), 722 nucleotides long. RefSeq lists it as uncharacterized. The record is from RefSeq and is a predicted model, not a curated record. The transcript is spliced from 8 exons. Lineage: Eukaryota; Metazoa; Mollusca; Bivalvia; Mytilida; Mytilidae.
GCAACUACAUUUCAAAAAUCAUCUUUCUAUCACGGCUCUGCUAUAACACAUUGCGAAUUAUGAUGAAGUGUUGUUGUUUGAUAGUUUUCAUCUUUUGCACAAUUGGUGUCUCAAAUGGCGGAAUUCUUUCUGGAAUAUGCCACUCCUCCAACGGUACCUGUGGAAAAAAAGGUGUUCCAUGUAAAGAGACUUUUGGGUCUGAUUGGACGUAUUACGGAAAAUGCUGCGAUGACCGACCAUGUUGCAAAUUUUUAAAAGUGCCAUGUGUUCCAGAAACUUGCCCAAAAGGGUUCAAGCUAUUAUCAAACCAAACAAGUAGUGCUAAUUGUUAUUACACUAGUGAAGAAGUUAGAAAAAGCUGGAAUAUAGCUGCGGAUAGUUGUGCCGCGACAGGUGGUGCCUAACUGUGGAGACCGAACACUGAACAAGAAGCCAAUGCUGUUUAUAAUGAAUUAAAUAUCCCACUAAAUGUAGGUGUAUGGACUGGUGCAAAUGAUAUAGACAACGAUGGAAACUUUACAUUUGCCAUAGAAAAUGGUCCACUUUCAUUUAAUGAUCUCCCAUUUGGAGCGGCAUUUUCUAACUUUAAUGAAGUCUGUGUUCUCAUUUUUAACUCCGGAACUUCGUGGCUUUGGUUGAAAUCAGUCUGUACCGAUGUUUAUUGCUACAUAUGCGAGUACAAACUUAGAGUCUGUCCGUAGAGAGGAUGUAUGCCAUUGCUG